Non-coding RNA from Drosophila kikkawai, 1378 nucleotides. The record is from RefSeq and is a predicted model, not a curated record. NCBI's taxonomy places the organism in Eukaryota, Metazoa, Arthropoda, Insecta, Diptera, Drosophilidae.
GGUGAUCGACGGACGGACGAUGACAAAAAUGGAUCAAAAAAGUCAGCAAGGCCGAACAGUUCAGAUAGAAAUUUUUAUAAAGAUGAAAAAUUCGUGAGAGAUAAAAAUCAAGGAAAAAGUGAAGGAAAAGAUAGCAAAAAUAGAGAGACUAAAGCUAAACAAUUAAAACUUGAGAAGAAUGUGGAUCAUGAUGAAAUGAAUAAGAAUGAAGAGAGUGAAAGAAAAGAAAAAAAAAGUGGAGAAAGUAAAGCUAAACAGGCGAAUAUUGAAAGAAAUGGGGAGCAAGGUAAAAUAAAUAAUAAUGAAGAGAAGGAAGGGAAAUAUAGGGAAAAAAAACACUUAAAGCACAAAAAAGCAAAAUUGAUAAGAAUUUGGAUCAAGGUGAAAUAAAGAAGAAUGAAGAGAAGGAAGGAAGAGAAAAAAAGAAUGGAGAAAGUGAAGCUAAACAAUCCAAAUUUGAAAGGAAUGUGGAUCAAGAUAAAAUAAAUAAGAAUAAUGAGAAGGAAGGGAAAUACAGAAAAAAUAGAAUAUUUAAAGCAGAAAAAAAACCAAAUUGAAAAGAAUGUGGAUCAAGGUGAAAUAAAUAGGAAUGAAGAAGAAGAAAAAGAUAGAAAAAAUAGCACAAGUAAAAUAAGCCCAACCAAAAAUUAUAAUGUAGAUCCAGGUAAAAUAACUAAGAACGAAGAAGCUUUAAAAAUAUCUAAAAAAUCGGGAAAAAGAAGGGAAAAGCGGAUAGGCGAGUUAAAUCAGGAAAAUGGCAAUAAAAAAGAUGAACAGAAGGGCGGAAAAGAUAAUAAAAUAAAAAAAGAAAAAUUGAUAGUAAUGAUAAGGACAAAAACGGCCAAAGUUAUCAAGCUAUGUCAAAGAAGCAAAAUGCUGAAAUCUUUGUCCAAAAGGAUCUCGUCGACGACAUGAAAACUCAGAGUAGAGAGGGCAAGCCCAAAAGAAUUGCAUUAGGGCCCACUAGUAAAAAAAAUGCAAAGUCAAAAUUUAAUACGGGUUAUAGAAAAAGUAAUCAACUUUUUGAAAAGAAAGACAUAUUUUUUAAAAAACGCAUUACAAAAGGACAAAAUUCAAAAAUAUUAUCUAAUAGAAAAAGUAUAGUUCCAAAGGGAUAUUAUUCAUGCCGCGCGAGUUACAAUCGUGUCGAUAUGUACGACCCUGUGAUAUUCUUCGUGUAAAAUUGGAGGAGCGAGAUUUGUCUAGAUGUAUUGCCUGCUGUUUUCCGUUCCGACCAUAUGUAUCUUGCAGUUCCUACCAAUGUGGCUUACCUUGUGGGGAGUAGGAUAGCAAAACUUUAAUUCUUUCAAAAAAGUGUGCUCAAAAUUUUAGCUUGACUUACUUGGUAUUGGUACCCAAAUAAAAAAAACGAAACAAA